GUCAAAGGGCCACUGAGAAGGAUGCAAAGCAGUUCUGCAAAGAGAAACAGAGAGUGUAUUCUGCAAAGAAGAAGAUGGAGCAGAACUGAAGAGGAAGAAUUUUCAGGCAGUACAGCAGAUACAGAUAAGUAACCACUGGAUUGGUGUCCACAUCAGAACAAUCACCACUGUAAUUGGGACCCUGGUUUCCAGACUUACUGGAGAGGUCAAGGACUGAGUAGGCAUGGACAGCAUCUAUCUUAAAGUCUCCAGGUGAAAUCCUGACCCUUUUGAAGCCAAUGGAGUCAGAUCAUCACUCUCCAGAUCAGAACUGAGGCAUAUUAGCAUGGCCAUACAAAUGAAUGUGCAAUCUAUUGCCAUCAAUACAUGGGGAGACACAGCUUUAUAAAGCCUUCUCAACUGACCCAGAUGUUGCAGUACCUCCAUGCUGGAUUGGCUUGCUAAAUGAUGCAUCAAGAAG
Long non-coding RNA from Mauremys reevesii (Reeves's turtle), 460 nucleotides. RefSeq lists it as uncharacterized. The transcript has 3 exons. Lineage: Eukaryota; Metazoa; Chordata; Testudines; Geoemydidae. The record is from RefSeq and is a predicted model, not a curated record.